This 74-nucleotide transfer RNA is filed under the name Candidatus Riesia sp. GBBU. It matches the Rfam family "tRNA". Rfam says of the family: Transfer RNA (tRNA) molecules are approximately 80 nucleotides in length. Their secondary structure includes four short double-helical elements and three loops (D, anti-codon, and T loops). Further hydrogen bonds mediate the characteristic L-shaped molecular structure. tRNAs have two regions of fundamental functional importance: the anti-codon, which is responsible for specific mRNA codon recognition, and the 3' end, to which the tRNAs corresponding amino acid is attached (by aminoacyl-tRNA synthetases). tRNAs cope with the degeneracy of the genetic code in two manners: having more than one tRNA (with a specific anti-codon) for a particular amino acid; and 'wobble' base-pairing, i.e. permitting non-standard base-pairing at the 3rd anti-codon position. The record is from Rfam by way of RNAcentral. Lineage: Bacteria; Pseudomonadati; Pseudomonadota; Gammaproteobacteria; Enterobacterales; Enterobacteriaceae.
CGGCGAGUGGCGCAGUUUGGUAGCGCAAUUGGUUUGGGACCAAUGGGUCGGAGGUUCAAAUCCUCUCUCGCCGA